AGCUGCAUAAAGUUCCUGAACGCAGGCAAACUGACACUGAGAAGGACAAACAAAAGAUUUAAUUUCUGCACCAUGAAGAUGCUGACUGUGUUUCUGCAUGUGUGUGUCAUGAUGACUUUCACACACAGUCUGUCUGUUCCAGAGGAAACAACUGUGCCAGCUCUUCCAGAGGAAACAACUGUGCCAGGUGAAUCUAAAAGUUGUCUUUUAAUGAGAAUAAUUUUUUAUCCACUAGUAAAUAUUGAAAGUUUUUACCCCAUGAAGUUAAUUGCAACAAAAGAACAUUUUAACUCAUGCAGAUGGAGACAACUGGGGAACACCACCAUCUCCACCAUCUACAGAAGAUGACUCAUUUGGGGGCUGGCAUCCAUCUUGCCCAGAUGGAUGGAGUAUGCACAGUCAACAGUGCCUCAUCUUUGUUCCAGAAAACAUGACCUGGGACGAUGCUCAGAAUAACUGUCACUCUCAUGGAGGACAGCUUGCAUCUGUGUAUGAUGACUUUCAAGCUUAUGAGAUUCAAGCGGAGCUGAAGCGUGCUGGACAUGAUCAUGGAGAAUUUUGGGUUGGAGGCCAUAAUAGUCCAGGGAAUCCUUCUUGGUCCUGGAGUGAUUAUUUGGGAAUGUCUGCUUUUGCUGACUUUUGUAAUGGAGACACAGCCGAAG
This is a long non-coding RNA of Astatotilapia calliptera (eastern happy), 662 nucleotides long. NCBI's taxonomy places the organism in Eukaryota, Metazoa, Chordata, Actinopteri, Cichliformes, Cichlidae. The record is from Ensembl.